This 338-nucleotide ribosomal RNA is filed under the name uncultured archaeon. Its description in RNAcentral is "bacterial SSU rRNA". It matches the Rfam family "Archaeal small subunit ribosomal RNA", at positions 341 to 683 of the family's 1478-position model. The record is from RNAcentral.
GAGAAAACUUUACAAUGCGAGAAAUCGUGAUAAGGGAACCCCGAGUGCCCGUAAAUUCGGGCUGUCCAUCAGUGUAAAUAACUGGUGAAGAAAGGGCCGGGCAAGACCGGUGCCAGCCGCCGCGGUAAUACCGGCGGCUCGAGUGGUGGCCGCUAUUACUGGGCUUAAAGCGUCCGUAGCUGGGUUGUUAAGUCUCCUGGGAAAUCUACCGGCUCAACCGAUGGGCGUUCAGGAGAUACUGGCAACCUAGGGACCGGGAGAGGUGAGGGGUACUCCAGGGGUAGGAGUGAAAUCCUGUAAUCCUUGGGGGACCACCUGUGGCGAAGGCGUCUCACCAG